UACGUAGGGGGCUAGCGUUGUCCGGAAUCAUUGGGCGUAAAGCGCGUGUAGGCGGUCCGGUAAGUCCGCUGUGAAAGUCGAGGGCUCAACCCUCGAAUGCCGGUGGAUACUGUCGGGCUUGAGUACGGGAGAGGCGAGUGGAAUUCCUGGUGUAGCGGUGAAAUGCGUAGAUAUCAGGAGGAACACCGGUGGCGAAGGCGGGUCUCUGGGCCGAUACUGACGCUGAGGAGCGAAAGCGUGGGGAGCGAACAGG
Molecule: ribosomal RNA, 253 nt
Filed under: uncultured bacterium
Lineage: Bacteria
Description: partial 16S ribosomal RNA
Rfam family: Bacterial small subunit ribosomal RNA
Source: RNAcentral